AUACGUAGGUGGCAAGCGUUGUCCGGAAUUAUUGGGCGUAAAGCGCAUGUAGGCGGUUUUGUAAGUCGGUCGUGAAAAUGCGGUGCUUAAAGCGGGAUGGGGAUCGGAACUGCUGAACGUGAGUGCAGGAGAGGAAAGGGGAACUCCCAGUGUAGCGGGGAAAUGCGUAGAUAUUGGGAAGAACACCGGUGGCGAAGGCGCCUUUCUGGACUGUGUCUGACGCUCAGAUGCGAAAGCCAGGGUAGAACGGGAUUAGAUACCCCGGUAGUCCUGGCCGUAAACGAUGGGUACUAGGUGUGGGAGGUAUCGACUCCUUCCGUGCCGGAGUUAACGCAAUAAGUACCCCGCCUGGGGAGUACGGCCGCAAGGCUUAAACUCAAAUGAAUUGGCGGGG
Molecule: ribosomal RNA, 394 nt
Filed under: uncultured bacterium
Lineage: Bacteria
Description: partial 16S ribosomal RNA
Rfam family: Bacterial small subunit ribosomal RNA
Source: RNAcentral